CUCCAAGGAAGAUAUACAGAUGGCCAACAAGCAUAUGCAAAAAAUGCUCAACAUCGCUGAUUAUUAGAGAAAUGCAAAUCAAAACUACCAUGAGAUACCACCUCAUACCAGUCAGAAAGGCCAUCAUUUAUAAGUCCACAAAUAACAAAUGCUGGAGGGGGUAUGCAGAAAAGGGAACCCUCCUGCACUGUUGGUGGGAAUGUAAACUGGUAUAGCCACUAUGGAGAACACUUUGGAGAUACCUUAAAAUCCAUACAUAGAAUUUCCAUAUGACCCCAAAAUCCCACUCUUGGGCAUAUAUCCGGGCAAGAGUUUCCUUGAAAAGGACACAUGCACCUGCAUUUAUAUAAUUAUUAGAUCAUAGCUAUUUUAUGUUUAUUGAUAUUUUUUUUCCUUGAAUACUCAUCAUAAUCAAUUUUAACAGAAAGGAAUGGAAUAUAUCCUUUAUUAUUUAAUCUUACUAUUCAAAAAAAUAUAAACUGAUUUAUUCUAAAAGGGUUCAUUAGGACCCAAGUAUUACCUGAAACUGUAGGUAUGCUUUUUGAGGCUUCCAUAUAGACCAAGAUUUCAUAAAAUAAUCCCUCAUACAGUCUGGAUCAGGUUUAUCCCAUAUUCUGCAUUCUGACAUUUCCCUAUCAGUAUUCUGUAAGCUCUAAGAGAGCUGAAUUUAUUGAAUUUAUACAUUUACUGGAUAACCCUGUAAGAGAUGUGUUUAAAACAUCUCUUUCAGAUUUGAAACAAAUUCUCUCAUGGUUGCAAUGAUCCUAAGGAAGGGAAAUGUAUUAAAAAAUGACUGUUAUACAGAUGUUUUAUUACAGUUAUUUUGUAAAAACUGGUGUCUAUAGUAUGUUGUCAUCUGUUCUGCAAUUGUUUUUCCAAAGUACGUAUGAAAGAGUGAAAAUUUAUAUUUGUAAUAACCAACCCUGAGGUCAUUUUGAAGAAAAAAAAUCAAAACAUGUUAUUUUGGUUUUAGUACUCGGUGUAUUUUGUUGUAGGAUCAUUCUUUUAAAAUUGAUAGCCCAUGAAGUGACUAUUAUGCCAAAGCUCUUAACUCUCAAACCACACUCUAGCCAGAGAUUGUAUUGCACUAUCAUUUGCAAUUAUUCUUGAGGUGCUGGUAAUAAGGAUGCUAUUCAUUUUUUAAUUCUGGGAAUCUCUCAUUUAUCCAAUAUCAUCAAAACUGUCUCAGUACCUUAAGAUAGGAUUGAUAUUCAGUCAGCAUACACUAGUAGGGCUGUAAUGAUGGUUAAAAUAGUGAAAUAUUACCCUACUGGUUAGUAAAUGACCAUGGCUCAGAGACCAAUUCUGGGCAGUUGCUCCUCUACAACUGCUCUGGUCCCACCAUUCUUGACAUCUUUCAGGACCCUACUUCAGGGUUUAUAUUACUGCAGUUGGUACAUGUUUUGAGUAACGUCCCAUAAAAUGUUGCUCAAGAUAUAUUAUAAACCACCCUUAGCCACUCAGAUAGGUAUUUAUAGCAAUAGGAGGCACCAGGAGACUUCUCCCAAGGUUUCCAAUCCUCUCUGACAUUAUAGAUGAACAUCUUCAAUGCAGUUUUUUUUAUUCACUGCAGCUCCAUUAUUGAUUUGUUCACACAGUUCAUUUGUGACUCCAGAAGUGAUAAUUUUGGUUUGGUUUAAUUUGGCAUCAUAAUUUGUGUUCCUCCAGAAGGACAGAGAUUCUGGCACAAGUAGAUUAGGGAGGUCAUCCCCAAAAAAUACCAAUAAAGGAGUAGGGAGGUGAAACAAGGAAGAAAAGGCAGCCAAUAAAGUGUGUUUUAUUAAGCAACACACCAUUGUGUAAAACUAGUGCCUCAUCCCAUUGGAGAGCUCUGGAAACCAGUGUGGAACACACACCUUAGAGUUAUUACACACAAGAGUUAGAGAUCUGGAGAAUAAAUACUCCAAGUCCUCUCUGUCAUGGAUUGACAACUGUUCCAAGGUGUAUUCAUUAUCAAGCACUUCUAACCUGCUGUGCAGUAGGCAGAGCUAGCCCAAGUUGCUAGAGAAAGCCUCCUGCAAAGAGAUGCAGAUGCUGGUAAUGGAAUUCAUUCAGGAAGGUCUGCACUAAAACUGUAAGGUCCAACAACACUUGCUAAUCUAGGCUUUAGCCAAGAGGUACUCACAGCAAACUCCUACUGGCUCCAUCACUGUGACCUUACCUUCCCCCUAAGAAGUGUACUGAAACCUGAUGAACUUCAAGGGGCACAAUUUCUCAUCCAGACACAUUUUCUACAGGUUGAAGCCUUAACAGGAUGUAAAUAAAUUAGCUUGCAUUGGAGUAAUAUGUCCAUCAAGUUUUUAAAUAAUCUUUUUCCAGGUAUCUCAGCACAAGUGAAUUGGGGCUGCAUUUCUCUUAGGGGAAAUCUCGACCAUCAUUUUCUUUUUGGAUACCCAUCUCAGCUCUUCAAAAACAUUUUCUUUAAAGCAGUAGUGCUCAUGGAGACUAAAAAUGCUGCCACUUGGGAAAAGACUCAGCCAUCUUUUUCUUUCUUCAAAACUCUUUACUCUUUCCUCUUUGAUGUGGGGAAGGGAGGGUGGUGAAAAGCCUGCAUCCCUUACUAGAAAAAAGUGGAAUAGCAACCCCACUCUGGAAAGGCCUGGAAAGGAGUAAACUGUCUACACGAGCUCUCUCUAUACACUGGGGUACGCUGUGUCUGGAUCUAUGUUCUUGAGUUUGCCACUUUUUGAUAUUAGCCAUCCAAUUACCAAGGUUUGUGAUUUUGCUAGCACAUUCGUAGAAAAUAAAGUAAACCAUUUGACAUGCUUUGACUUGAGGCCUCUGGUUGGCCUUUAGCUUAGAUAAAAUAAUAUGAAUAAGAAUUAUUGGGAGUUCCUGUCAUGGCUUAGCGGAUAGAUUAGGAAUGAAUCCGACUAGGAACCAUGAGGUUGUGGGUUUGAUCCCUGGCCUCACUCAGUGGGUUAAGGAUCCAGCAUUGCCGUGAGCUCUGGUGUAGGUCGCAGACGUGGCUUGGAUCCCGCAUUGUGGCUCUGGCAUAGGCCGGUGGCUACGGCUCUGAUUAGACCCCCAGCCUGGGAACCUCCAUAUGCUGCAAGUGUGGCCCUAGAAAAAGACAAAAAAAAAUUAUUAUUAUGAUAGUAGUGUUAACUUAUUGUGCCCUAACUCUAUGGUCCAAUAGUAGGUGUUUUUCAUGGAUUGGUUUAUUUAAUCUUUACAACCCAUUCUCUGAAAGAGCUAUUAUUAUAUCCAUUUAUAGAUGAGUGCUUCAUUAGGUCCACUAGAUCUCUCCAAUGAAAAGGAAAACCUUCCUCCGUAAUUACUGAGUAAUCCAAGGGUGAUAUUUUUACAUCAUCCCUUGAUCCUGUCAAUAACCCUUGAUCCAAUGGCUUU
This 3351-nucleotide long non-coding RNA is filed under the name Sus scrofa (pig). Its description in RNAcentral is "lncRNA (ENSSSCG00025063527.1)". Lineage: Eukaryota; Metazoa; Chordata; Mammalia; Artiodactyla; Suidae. The record is from RNAcentral.